Molecule: ribosomal RNA, 845 nt
Filed under: Dialonectria ullevolea
Lineage: Eukaryota; Fungi; Ascomycota; Sordariomycetes; Hypocreales; Nectriaceae
Description: LSU rRNA
Rfam family: Eukaryotic large subunit ribosomal RNA
Source: RNAcentral
UUAAGCAUAUCAAUAAGCGGAGGAAAAGAAACCAACAGGGAUUGCCCUAGUAACGGCGAGUGAAGCGGCAACAGCUCAAAUUUGAAAUCUGGCCCCCGGGUCCGAGUUGUAAUUUGUAGAGGAUGCUUUUGGUGAGGUACCUUCCGAGUUCCCUGGAACGGGACGCCAUAGAGGGUGAGAGCCCCGUCUGGUCGGAUACCGAUCCUCUGUAAAGCUCCUUCGACGAGUCGAGUAGUUUGGGAAUGCUGCUCUAAAUGGGAGGUAUAUGUCUUCUAAAGCUAAAUAUAGGCCAGAGACCGAUAGCGCACAAGUAGAGUGAUCGAAAGAUGAAAAGCACUUUGAAAAGAGGGUUAAACAGUACGUGAAAUUGUUGAAAGGGAAGCGCUUGUGACCAGACUUGGGCCCGGUUAAUCAUCCAGCGUUCUCGCUGGUGCACUUGGCCGGCCCAGGCCAGCAUCAGUUCGGCGUGGGGGAUAAAGGCGGCGGGAAUGUGGCUCCUCCGGGAGUGUUAUAGCCCACCGUGUAAUACCCUGUGCUGGACUGAGGUUCGCGCAUUCGCAAGGAUGCUGGCGUAAUGGUCAUUAGCGACCCGUCUUGAAACACGGACCAAGGAGUCGUCCUCGUAUGCGAGUGUUCGGGUGUUAAACCCCUACGCGUAAUGAAAGUGAACGCAGGUGAGAGCUUCGGCGCAUCAUCGACCGAUCCUGAUGUUCUCGGAUGGAUUUGAGUAAGAGCAUACGGGGCCGGACCCGAAAGAAGGUGAACUAUGCCUGUAUAGGGUGAAGCCAGAGGAAACUCUGGUGGAGGCUCGCAGCGGUUCUCACGUGCAAAUCCCUCGUCAAAUA